This 253-nucleotide ribosomal RNA is filed under the name uncultured bacterium. RNAcentral describes it as "partial 16S ribosomal RNA". It matches the Rfam family "Bacterial small subunit ribosomal RNA", at positions 524 to 776 of the family's 1533-position model. The record is from RNAcentral.
UACGGAGGGUGCAAGCGUUAUCCGGAUUCACUGGGUUUAAAGGGUGCGUAGGUGGGUCUGUAAGUCAGUGGUGAAAUCUCCAAGCUUAACUUGGAAACUGCCAUUGAUACUAUAGGUCUUGAAUAUCCUGGAGGUGAGCGGAAUAUGUCAUGUAGCGGUGAAAUGCUUAGAUAUGACAUAGAACACCAAUUGCGAAGGCAGCUCACUACGGGAUUAUUGACACUGAGGCACGAAAGCGUGGGGAUCAAACAGG